UACGAAGGGGGCUAGCGUUGCUCGGAAUCACUGGGCGUAAAGCGCACGUAGGCGGCUUUCUAAGUCAGGGGUGAAAUCCUGGAGCUCAACUCCAGAACUGCCUUUGAUACUGGAGAGCUAGAGUCCGGAAGAGGUGAGUGGAACUGCGGGUGUAGAGGUGAAAUUCGUAGAUAUUCGCAAGAACACCAGUGGCGAAGGCGGCUCACUGGCCCGGUACUGACGCUGAGGUGCGAAAGCGUGGGGAGCAAACAGG
RNAcentral lists this ribosomal RNA (253 nucleotides) under uncultured bacterium. Its description in RNAcentral is "partial 16S ribosomal RNA". It matches the Rfam family "Bacterial small subunit ribosomal RNA", at positions 524 to 776 of the family's 1533-position model. The record is from RNAcentral.